RNAcentral lists this ribosomal RNA (443 nucleotides) under uncultured bacterium. RNAcentral describes it as "partial 16S ribosomal RNA". It matches the Rfam family "Bacterial small subunit ribosomal RNA", at positions 338 to 795 of the family's 1533-position model. The record is from RNAcentral.
CCUACGGGAGGCAGCAGUGGGGAAUAUUGGGCAAUGGAGGCAACUCUUACCCAGCAAUGCCGCGUGAAUGAAGAAGGUCUUCGGAUUGUAAAGUUCUUUAAUUGGGGACGAAAAAAAUGACGGUACCCAAGGAAUAAGCCCCGGCUAACUACGUGCCAGCAGCCGCGGUAGUACGUAGGGGGCAAGCGUUGUUCGGAAUGACUGGGCGUAAAGGGUGUGUAGGCGGUAUGUCAAGUCAAGGGUGAAAUCCCCGCGCACAACGUGGGAACUGCCUUUGAAACUGGCAAACUGGAGUGUGUGAGAGGAUAGUGGAAUUCCAGGUGUAGGAGUGAAAUCCGUAGAUAUCUGGAGGAACAUCAGUGGCGAAGGCGACUAUCUGGCACAUAACUGACGCUGAGGAGCGAAAGCGUGGGUAGCAAACAGGAUUAGAUACCCCUGUAGUC